RNAcentral lists this ribosomal RNA (194 nucleotides) under uncultured bacterium. Its description in RNAcentral is "partial 16S ribosomal RNA". It matches the Rfam family "Bacterial small subunit ribosomal RNA", at positions 302 to 497 of the family's 1533-position model. The record is from RNAcentral.
GGCGGGCGGGGCGGGGGCACGGGGGGCCUACGGGAGGCAGCAGUGGGGAAUUGUUCGCAAUGGGCGCAAGCCUGACGACGCAACGCCGCGUGGAGGAUGAAGAUCUUCGGGUCGUAAACUCCUGUCGAGCGGGAAGAACAGCUUUGGAGUGAAUAUCUCUGAAGCCUGACGGUACCGCUAAAGGAAGCCCCCAC